UCAAGUAAUUAAGUGCAUGUGGUGGAUGCCUUGGCAGUCAGAGGCGAUGAAAGACGUGAUAGCCUGCGAAAAGCUCCGGGGAGGCGGCAAAUAUCCUUUGAUCCGGAGAUGUCUGAAUGGGGGAACCCACCUACUUUAAGGUAGGUAUUGCAACAUGAAUACAUAGUGUUGCAAGGCGAACGAGGGGAAGUGAAACAUCUCAGUACCCUUAGGAAAAGAAAUCAAUUGAGAUUCCCUCAGUAGCGGCGAGCGAACGGGGAUCAGCCCAUUAAGUUAUGUGUGUUUUAGUGGAACGCUCUGGGAAGUGCGAACGUAGAGGGUGAUAUUCCCGUACACGAAAGGGCACACAUAAUGAUGACGAGUAGGGCGAGGCACGUGAAACCUUGUCUGAAUAUGGGGGGACCAUCCUCCAAGGCUAAAUACUCCUGACUGACCGAUAGUGAACCAGUACCGUGAGGGAAAGGCGAAAAGAACCCCUGUGAGGGGAGUGAAAUAGAUCCUGAAACCGCAUGCAUACAAGCAGUGGGAGCACCUUCGUGGUGUGACUGCGUACCUUUUGUAUAAUGGGUCAGCGACUUAUAUUCAGUAGCAAGGUUAACCGUAUAGGGGAGCCGUAGAGAAAUCGAGUCUUAAUAGGGCGUUUAGUUGCUGGGUAUAGACCCGAAACCAGGCGAUCUAUCCAUGAGCAGGUUGAAGGUUGGGUAACACUAACUGGAGGACCGAACCCACUGUCGUUGAAAAGCCAGGGGAUGACUUGUGGAUAGGGGUGAAAGGCUAAUCAAGCCUGGUGAUAGCUGGUUCUCCCCGAAAGCUAUUUAGGUAGCGCCUCGGACGAAUACCAUAGGGGGUAGAGCACUGUUUCGGCUAGGGGGUCAUCCCGACUUACCAAACCGAUGCAAACUCCGAAUACCUAUGAGUACUAUCCGGGAGACAGACUGCGGGUGCUAACGUCCGUAGUCAAGAGGAAAACAAUCCAGACCGCCAGCUAAGGCCCCAAAAUCAUAGUUAAGUGGGAAACGAUGUGGGAAGGCAUAGACAGCUAGGAGGUUGGCUUAGAAGCAGCCACCCUUUAAAGAAAGCGUAAUAGCUCACUAGUCGAGUCGGCCUGCGCGGAAGAUGUAACGGGGCUAAAACUAUGUGCCGAAGCUGCGGAUUUGCUGGAGGUAUCAGAAGUGCGAAUGCUGACGUGAGUAACGACAAAACGGGUGAAAAACCCGUUCGCCGAAAGACCAAGGGUUCCAGUCCAACGUUAAUCGGGGCUGGGUGAGUCGACCCCUAAGGCGAGGCCGAAAGGCGUAGUCGAUGGGAAAAUGGUUAAUAUUCCAUUACUUCUGUGUAAUGCGAUGAGAGGACGGAGAAGGCUAAAUCAGCCUGGCGUUGGUUGUCCAGGUGAAAGGAUGUAGGCAUGUAUCUUAGGCAAAUCCGGGGUACUCUAUGCUGAGAUCUGAUAGCAAGCUGUACUUGUACAGCGAAGUGGUUGAUGCCAUGCUUCCAGGAAAAGUCUCUAAGCUUCAGUUACACAGGAAUCGUACCCGAAACCGACACAGGUGGUCAGGUCGAGUAGACCAAGGCGCUUGAGAGAACUCUGCUGAAGGAACUAGGCAAAAUGGUACCGUAACUUCGGGAGAAGGUACGCUGUUGUUGGUGAUGGAACUCGCUUCCUGAGCUGACGACAGCCGCAGAAACCAGGCCGCUGCAACUGUUUAUUAAAAACAUAGCACUCUGCAAACACGAAAGUGGACGUAUAGGGUGUGAUGCCUGCCCGGUGCUGGAAGGUUAAUUGAUGGGGUUAGCGUAAGCGAAGCUCUUGAUCGAAGCCCCAGUAAACGGCGGCCGUAACUAUAACGGUCCUAAGGUAGCGAAAUUCCUUGUCGGGUAAGUUCCGACCUGCACGAAUGGCAUAAUGAUGGCGGCGCUGUCUCCAGCAGAGGCUCAGUGAAAUCGAAAUCGCUGUGAAGAUGCAGUGUACCCGCGGCUAGACGGAAAGACCCCGUGAACCUUUACUGCAGCUUGACACUGAACUUUGACCUUACUUGUGUAGGAUAGGUGGGAGGCUUUGAAGCUGGAACGCUAGUUCCAGUGGAGCCGUCCUUGAAAUACCACCCUGGUAAUGUUGAGGUUCUAACUCUGUCCCGUGAUCCGGGACGAGGACCGUGUCUGGUGGGUAGUUUGACUGGGGCGGUCUCCUCCUAAAGAGUAACGGAGGAGUACGAAGGUGCGCUCAGCGUGGUCGGAAAUCACGCGUAGAGUAUAAAGGCAAAAGCGCGCUUAACUGCGAGACCCACAAGUCGAGCAGGUACGAAAGUAGGUCUUAGUGAUCCGGUGGUUCUGUAUGGAAGGGCCAUCGCUCAACGGAUAAAAGGUACUCUGGGGAUAACAGGCUGAUACCGCCCAAGAGUUCAUAUCGACGGCGGUGUUUGGCACCUCGAUGUCGGCUCAUCUCAUCCUGGGGCUGAAGCAGGUCCCAAGGGUAUGGCUGUUCGCCAUUUAAAGAGGUACGCGAGCUGGGUUUAGAACGUCGUGAGACAGUUCGGUCCCUAUCUACCGUGGGCGCUGGAAAUUUGAGAGGAUCUGCUCCUAGUACGAGAGGACCAGAGUGGACGAACCUCUGGUGUACCGGUUGUGACGCCAGUCGCAUCGCCGGGUAGCUAUGUUCGGAAGGGAUAACCGCUGAAAGCAUCUAAGCGGGAAGCCUACCUCAAGAUAAGAUUUCCCUAGGACUUUAUGUCCUCUAAAGAGCCGUUCGAGACUAGGACGUUGAUAGGUUGGAUGUGGAAGCAUAGUGAUAUGUGAAGCUGACCAAUACUAAUUGCUCGUGAGGCUUGACUAU
RNAcentral lists this ribosomal RNA (2830 nucleotides) under Acinetobacter baumannii. RNAcentral describes it as "bacterial LSU rRNA". It matches the Rfam family "Bacterial large subunit ribosomal RNA". The record is from RNAcentral. Lineage: Bacteria; Pseudomonadati; Pseudomonadota; Gammaproteobacteria; Moraxellales; Moraxellaceae.